RNAcentral lists this ribosomal RNA (482 nucleotides) under uncultured bacterium. RNAcentral describes it as "partial 16S ribosomal RNA". It matches the Rfam family "Bacterial small subunit ribosomal RNA", at positions 30 to 507 of the family's 1533-position model. The record is from RNAcentral.
AUUGAACGCUGGCGGCAUGCCUUACACAUGCAAGUCGAACGGUAACGCGCCUUCGGGUGCCGACGAGUGGCGAACGGGUGAGUAAUACAUCGGAACGUGCCCGAUCGUGGGGGAUAACGAGGCGAAAGCUUUGCUAAUACCGCAUACGAUCUACGGAUGAAAGCAGGGGACCGCAAGGCCUUGCGCGGACGGAGCGGCCGAUGGCAGAUUAGGUAGUUGGUGGGAUAAAAGCUUACCAAGCCGACGAUCUGUAGCUGGUCUGAGAGGAUGAUCAGCCACACUGGGACUGAGAAACGGCCCAGACUCCUAAGGGAGGCAGCAGUGGGGAAUUUUGGACAAUGGGCGCAAGCCUGAUCCAGCCAUGCCGCGUGCAGGAUGGAGGCCUUCGGGUUGUAAACUGCUUUUGUACGGAACGAAAAGCCUUCUUUUAAUACAGGAGGGUCAUGACGGUACCGUAAGAAUAAGCACCGGCUAACUACGUG